AAUAUUGGACAAUGGGCGAAAGCCUGAUCCAGCCAUGCCGCGCGUGUGAAGAAGGUCUUCGGAUUGUAAAGUACUUUAAGUAGGGAGGAAGGUCAUUAAGUUAAAACCUAGCUGUUUUGACGUAACCGAAAGAAUAAGCAACGGCUAUCCUCGACCCAUCAGCCGCGGUAAUACGAAGGUUCCAAACUUUAAACGGAAUUCCUGGGCGUAAAUCGCACGUAGGUGGUUUGUUAAGUUGGAAGUGAAAGCCCCGGGCUCAACCUGGGAACUGCUUUCAAAACUGGCAAGCUAGAGUAUGGCAGAAGGUGGUGGAAUUUCCUGUGUAGCGGUGAAAUGCGUAGAUAUAGGAAGGAACACCAGUGGCGAAGGCGACCACCUGGGCUAAUACUGACACUGAGGUGCGAAAGCGUGGGGAGCAAACA
Molecule: ribosomal RNA, 422 nt
Filed under: uncultured bacterium
Lineage: Bacteria
Description: partial 16S ribosomal RNA
Rfam family: Bacterial small subunit ribosomal RNA
Source: RNAcentral